This is a non-coding RNA of Rattus norvegicus (Norway rat), 62 nucleotides long. NCBI's taxonomy places the organism in Eukaryota, Metazoa, Chordata, Mammalia, Rodentia, Muridae. The record is from Rfam.
GGGGAUUUAGCUCAGUUGUAGAGCGCUUGCCUAGCAAGUGCAAGGCCCUGGGUCAGUCCCCA